This 775-nucleotide ribosomal RNA is filed under the name uncultured Neocallimastigales. RNAcentral's name for it is "partial large subunit ribosomal RNA". It matches the Rfam family "Eukaryotic large subunit ribosomal RNA", at positions 22 to 641 of the family's 3401-position model. The record is from RNAcentral. Lineage: Eukaryota; Fungi; Neocallimastigomycota; Neocallimastigomycetes; Neocallimastigales.
GUACACGCUGUGACUAGCAUAUCAAUAAGCGGAGGAAAAGUAACUAACAAGGAUUCCCCUAGUAACGGCGAGUGAAGCGGGAAGAGCUCAAAUUUGAAAUCUAAAAGGGUUUCCCUUUACGAAUUGUAGUUUAAAGAAGUGUUUUCUGUUGAGGUUUUGGUAAGAGUUCUUUGGAAUAGGACAUCAUAGAGGGUGAGAAUCCCGUAUUUGACCUUUACUUUCAACUUUGUGAUACACUUUCAAAGAGUCGGAUUGUUUGGGAAUGCAGUCCAAAAUGGGUGGUAAAUUUCAUCUAAAGCUAAAUAUUGGCGAGAGACCGAUAGCGAACAAGUACCGUGAGGGAAAGAUGAAAAGAACUUUGAAAAGAGAGUUAAACAGUACGUGAAAUUGUCAAAAGGGAAGCGUUUGACACCAGUGUUGUUUUUCUGAAAAUCAAUUAAAGAACUGUUUAUGCUAAGUUGUUUAGACUUUAUCAGCUAACUGUUUAGUUUUGAGCUUUUCUUUAAUGCACCUUUUCAGUUAACAAGUCAACAUCAAUUUCUUUUGCUGUAAAAAAGCUUGAGGAAGGUGGCUUGAGAUUCGUCUUAAGUGUUUAUAGCCUCUUGCCUAUGCAGUCGGAGAGAUUGAGGUCUGCAGCGUAGAUCCUUCGGGGCUAAAUGCAUUUGUGCUAAGUUAUAGCAUUUUAUAGACAACUUGUUGACUAUGAUUUGUCUUGUAGCUUACUCGCUUAUGUUAUUUUACCUACGCUUAGGAUGUUGAUAUGCAUGACUGAUAU